Arachis duranensis is the source of this 363-nucleotide long non-coding RNA. RefSeq lists it as uncharacterized. NCBI's taxonomy places the organism in Eukaryota, Viridiplantae, Streptophyta, Magnoliopsida, Fabales, Fabaceae. The transcript has 3 exons. The record is from RefSeq and is a predicted model, not a curated record.
UUCUAGGUUCAAGUUAGCUUCCGGAACUUGUGGGCUCAAGCUAUUGAGCAUAUAUGGGUAUGGUGUAGGUUAAGUGGGUGUUUAUGCAUUGGAAUUGAAUUGGGAUUACUUGGAGGUUUGUUGGUGACCAAGGCUUGUUUUGGGCUGUUUGAUUGAGCUUGGAGGGGCUGUAAUUUUGAGUUGUGAGGCUGCCUUGGGUGAACUAAGUGAUCGGCCAAGAUGCAGGUCGAGAGGCUCCUCGCUAGGCGUCUGGAUCUUGAAGCGAAGUAGUUCAUGGAUGUCUUUUGGGUUUCUGUUCAUAUGUGCGUAUAUAUGUAUUUAGCUUACUCUCCAAGUAACUUAUGUAUGCUGCUCCUCGAGGUU